Dendronephthya gigantea is the source of this 400-nucleotide long non-coding RNA. RefSeq lists it as uncharacterized. The record is from RefSeq and is a predicted model, not a curated record. NCBI's taxonomy places the organism in Eukaryota, Metazoa, Cnidaria, Anthozoa, Malacalcyonacea, Nephtheidae. The transcript is spliced from 4 exons.
UCAAACCAUAGAGAUAUGCAGUCAUCACAGAACGUGUGCUGAAAUUUUAAAGAAGAUUUAUGUGAGGUGAUCUGACGGGAGUCGACGAAGAAUGGAUGUGAGCUUACUUUUAAGAGAAAGUAGAAAGCAGUUGAAAAAAUGGCGAAAUAUUCUCCACCAAUAUUGUAAUUCGUGAAAUACUGGUACCACAGAGGGAUUGGCAACGCACCAAAAUACUACCCACACAUCAAGUUUGGAGAAAUUUGGAAGUUGAAAGACCAAACUGAAAUGGAGGAAUGAAAUUCAAGGCUUUUAAGAAAGACGUGUUUAAUAUGAGGGACACUUGGCGUUUAAUGGUGUUGUUUGCGUGAAGGAAUGUCCCUGUCAGACCUACGCCAACAAGGAUACCUGGAGAAGAGUU